This is a long non-coding RNA of Rosa rugosa (rugosa rose), 516 nucleotides long. RefSeq lists it as uncharacterized. The transcript is spliced from 4 exons. The record is from RefSeq and is a predicted model, not a curated record. Lineage: Eukaryota; Viridiplantae; Streptophyta; Magnoliopsida; Rosales; Rosaceae.
GCUCUAGAUCUAUUGAAGAACUCAAUCCAUUUGCAAAUAUGGAAUAAGCAUUUUGUUUUUAUUCCAUUUCUUCAGGCCUGGAGGAGCACUAGAGAUUUGUGCAUACAUGUUUGAACUCUACAGAUAUGAUUGCAAGGUGAUAGGAGGUUCAAGUUCAAUCUUGUUUUAAGGGAAGGAGAGGGCUGGAAAUUCUGAGACAUUGAGUCUAUAGUGUCGAAAACUAGGAAGUGGCAUUAUUUUGACUGAAAAGUUCAAGGGAAAAGACAUUUAUACUCAAGAAGGGAUUGAUGUAGUUCCAGUAGGGUGGGCAAAGCAGAUUGAUGGAUAUAUCCAAGAUUAGCAUGCAUAUGGAGAUUUCUUAUUUGUGGUACUAUGAAGUUAUAUAAAUUUGAAGUCUACUUAGUGUAGUAGCUAGCAGCUACCAACUUUGAAUUAAAUUUGUCAAAAUAGUAGUGGUAGUACAUUUUGGAUCUUUAUUCUCCUUUAAUGAGAUGGACUUGUGGUAUUUGAAGAUUA